This is a long non-coding RNA of Canis lupus familiaris (dog), 2776 nucleotides long. RefSeq lists it as uncharacterized. The record is from RefSeq and is a predicted model, not a curated record. NCBI's taxonomy places the organism in Eukaryota, Metazoa, Chordata, Mammalia, Carnivora, Canidae. The transcript has 16 exons.
AAAUUGGGGGACUAACAGAAAUGGCGGGCGGAAGGCUGGCCAAUGAGGCUCCCGGAAGGGCGGUGGGCGGGGCCCCGCGGGAGCUUCGUCCUGAGGAGAGCGCUGGGCGCGUCCUGUGUGACUAAGGGUCACCCCUGCAGGUAGGCUGCGUGUGUCGCACGCCUCGCUGGGCCGGCUUCGUGACGUCGUAAAACGUGAAGAGAAAAUGCUCACUUCCGGUGACGUUCUUGCCUCCCCCGGCCCCGCACCCGCCGCCUGCCGCCCGCCACCCGCGCGCCGAGCUUGCACGUCAGGGACCAUGAAUGAGGCUCCCGGGUCCCGGUUCCCGAAGAGUCCGCGUUGUCGCUCCUCUCACUCAUCUUAAAAAAUAAUAUACAUCUGAUUUGAACGGACUGUUGCCGUCGCCAGCAGGUAGCUGAAUCCAGGCCAGAACUAACAUUUGCCCAAGACUGGGUCCCAAAAAGGUCAGCUGAGGCCAUGCAGCUCAUCUCCUCAUCCUAGAAGCCAGGUGAAUGGGGCAGCCACCAUCUCAGCUGUAGUCCAUCGCCAGUUCAAAGGGAAAGAGCAACAUUCUUCCUGCCUCAGAAAACAUUCUCUCACCAUCCAGCAGUCAUCCCUAAACUAAUGCUUUUGGUUGAUUUUAGGUAUCUUUUGUUGCAACAGCAGUUACCUGGCCUAUUCUGACCAAUGGGGAUACCCCCUGGAGCAGCAAUUACCCAUAGAGGAAAUAAGAGUAGUGGAGAGUGUCGGUACCCUCUUAAAGUUAGUGCUGAGGUUAGGGUAGGUUUAGGGUGUUGCUAAAGAUCAGCAUUCCUGGUUUGACCUUUAUCAAAACUCGUAAGUUUCUCACAGAGCAACACUUUUUCCACAGCCAGAGCCUGCAGCCGUGGUCCCACCCAGCUCUUCUGACAAAUACCUAGCAGCCAGCCAGUCACAGGGCCAGAAAGUAUGGUUGGCACAGCAAUUCCCCUCCCUGCUACUGAAAACAUAACUGUGCUGCAUCAUUCUCAUGUUUUAAAAUGGGCUUUUUCAAGCCACUGGAUCAUUUAGAACAUAUUUCUCAUGAGUUAUAUGACAUUUUAACUCUAUGCCCCUCCUUUUGAGUUUCAUUGCGAGUUUCCUGUUCAUGCUAAAGAUAGUCAUAAACAAACUCUGUGGUCUGUAUCUCAAAAAGGGAAACAUAUGUAAAGUCCGAUUAUCAUCUCUUUUCUCUGAGAAUGGAAGGGCUCUGCUUCCUACAGGGUAACGUGCAUUUGCUAAUCGCCCUUUGACUGGCAAUAAAUGGCUCCUCUGAACCGAUGGCCUCUCCUUUUUAGAAAUCAUUCAAAAGAAUCGGGUGGAUAGCUGCAACAUCUGAUUACAAAGUGACUCACUUUUGUCCAGUUACUGACUUCCCAGGAAAUGUUGCCAGUACUAGACGCUGAGAUUGGACUAUUUGAUUGCUCUAUACAAACAAAGCCUUAAUCUAGCUGUAAGGCUCAAAGAAAGACUCUACAGGCAAGUUAUGUGGUGCAACACUCUCUCGUGACUGUGGUGGGCAGUAGCAGUGAGUGGCAGCUCCCAACCAGGUGUCCACUUGGACUUCCUUCCAGAAGACUCUCCUGGCUCGUAGACCAGCAGAGUACCAGCUGGCCUGAAGGAGCUUGGGAUGGCCAGAGCCCAUCAGACGCAUCGCCUCAAGCCUAGAGUUGUCCCAUUCAUUCCCCCCAAUGCUGUAAUCAUAACUGAAGACCAAAACCACCAAGCACUCCUGCCACUGCUCUGCAGGCUGUAGUGAGAGGCAUCUCUGAGAGUAUUGUAUGAGAAUUUCAGUUGUUCCACAACAGAACGUUUGGCAUGGUCGCUGCUUUUUAAUUUUGGACAGUUGAAUAGGUAAAAAUACAGGUCAAAAAGGAAGAAUGAACAUCUAGAGAAAGAUCAAAAAUACAGAUACAGGAAUCAUCUAUGGAAUGUAAGACUUAGAGUCUUGGGGAUAAAUGAGAUUGUCAAGUGAAUCUUACUGAUUGCUACACAUGUUAACAAUAACAUCUCAUUUUAUCCACACAACAUUCUGCAAGAUGCAAAUCUAAGGACCAGAAAAUUAGCCACCAGAUCCUAGAAGCCAUCCUCAAAUCAAUAUGGUCUGAUUACCUACAAAGAUUUUUAAAAAUAAAGUCGAGGCUCAGAGACUUUUUCCUGGACUGAGAACUGCCCUACUCAUCUCUACACAGGGGCAAAGCGUCAAUGAAGCCUGAGGCACCGGGGCAAUUCUUCACCUCUGACCCACAGCAUGAGUCCUAAACUACCACCUAAAGAAAACACUUUAAAGGGAAACAUGUAAAUUAUAAUGAAGAUAAAGAAGAAAUGAAAAGCCUCAGGUACAAUGGCAGUAGCUGUUAAUAAAUAAACAUUAACAAAGGUUUCCAGAAAUUAAUCAGCACAGAUGGGCAUGGCAACCACUUGUGAAGGAAGCCUUCAUAGAAAUGCUUUGCUGCAAGGGUUCUGGGAAAUGCUGAGUGUCAUACACUGCCUGACCACUUUCUCCAUGAAGAUCCAUUGCUUCUUAGGCAAAACAAUGAAGAAAUAAAAACACGUUGAGUGCCUACCAUAUGCCAGAAACACUUGGCCAACCCAGUCUGGACAACAAGCUGAAAACCAGGGUUCUGAAAACUGGGCUUUAGAGGAAACUCUAGAGAAGCUGGGAAACAUGGGGAGAAAACCAACAUAGGCUGCGAGUCCCUGGCCCUGAUCUGAGGUGAUGAAGAAUCGAAACACCAGCAGAGGAAAGGAGUGAGAA